GGUUGUCAUUGGAACGAAGCUCAGGGAAAAAUAGCUUCCUGUCUGUCUCUCUUGACAUAUGAAACAGCAGGCAUUAAAACAUGUGGGUCUGCUUGUCGAUGUCGAGUAAAAUAACUACUUGGAAUAAGCGAAUUAUACACUGAACAUUCUGAAGAAGCACUGUAUACGUUAUCUGUCGUCCAACAUUUUUGUCAUCGAGUGUAAACGACCCGAAAGAGUGUUGAAAACUUGUAUAGUUUAAUAAUUGUCCGUGCUUGUCUUAAAUUUAAAUUUACCUAGAUGCCGGCUGCUUGGAACGGUUGUACUGCAUUUGCUCUGUGACGGAUUAUUAUGGCGUAGGGAAUAAGUACGCCGAUUAUUGUUCAGAAAGGUAGGUGCUUUGCUGAACAUUUAGUUUGGAAAUUUAGAAGUUCGAAUUGCACUCACGUACGUGGGGCAGAUUUUUUUUAGAGAACUUCAUACAGAGACUAAGUUUAUAUAAAGUUAGAUUGUCAUUGUUAAAGUUAACACUGGUGAAGUAUUUGAUUUAGAAAGCUCACCUUCUCAGUCAGGUGUUGAUAUAAAUAGCAAGUGUAAUGUAGCUCUCGAAAUGUCGCGUAUAAUGCGGCAUCGUCCUACGCAUUCUGCUAACAAUAUUGAUUUGCCCACUGAAUGUAAAUAGCCGAUCGGUUCAAGGCGUGGGUGAUCGCUCUUUUUAGACGUCAAGAUUAUAAUUUCCCCCGCGCUAUCAAUAAUACUUUUCCCGUCUAUAUAAUAUCUUAAUUAUGAAAUUUUCCAAGCAACAUGAGCUGGCAGCCUGGCAAGGUACUGUAUCGCUGAAUGUAGGUAGCAACUGUGAACUUGCUGCAAUUUGACAUCAUUAAAAAUUUUCUUACGACUUUUCCUUUGCAUAAUAUAUGAGUCAAACAUUUGUCCGUGUACGGAUUUGGCUUUUGAUUUACUUGUACAAAUUGUGUUAAAUCUCGUUGUUUUAAAGGUGCCAUUUUGUAGUGUUGAAAUUGAGUUACUUUUCUUGUCUAGGCGAUGAUAAAAGCAUGGGGAAACAUUGUUAAAGGUGGAGCUAGGCAGAGCUCACCAGAGCACCUGCGUCAACAGAUUCUUGGUUUUGCAAUCGGGCAAUGUUCCUAUAUUAAGCCACUCCGUAGACAUCAAGAUAUUUAUAGCAAGAGACAUGUGAUAUGCAAGAUAUUUCUUCAACAUAAUAUAAAGGUAGGAGAUUUUCUUUAAUUCUUAAAUAUGAUAAUCCUCAAGCUUUAAUUAUACAAC
Non-coding RNA from Paramuricea clavata, 1266 nucleotides. Lineage: Eukaryota; Metazoa; Cnidaria; Anthozoa; Malacalcyonacea; Plexauridae. The record is from the annotation of a GenBank genome assembly.